CUUAACUCAGAGCUGACAUCCAUUGAAAUCAAAGUGGGAUAUGUUUCUUUACUCUGCUUUGUAUCAUGUUUAAGAGCAGUUCCCUGGAGCGAAAUGAGCUCUUCCAAGUGAAUGGUUCACCUCACCAAACCUCUGGGGGCCAUCUUUAAAGCUAUUGCCUCUCUUCCUCCAUUUGGCCUCAGACCAGAAGACAGUGGUACCCUGGGCAGGUAUUGGGUUUUUGUUCCUGGAUAGCUGACUGGAAGAUCAGUGAAUGUUAUGUAAAAGUUUUCAAAAAAUCAUGUAAGUUUAGGUCUGUGGAAUUCCAGGCAGCAUUCAUGAAGAUGAACAAAUUGCCAGAAGGCUCUCAGAAUGAUCUACACUCUGGUCCAAAAUGCAGGAAUUCUUAUGCAGGCACAGAGGAGCCCGAAGGUGAAAUUGAAGAUGUUAAAAACAGUGUGAUGUGGAAGCAGACUGAAUGAGAAAUUUUUCUUCCAAAUAACCUUUAUCUCCCACUGGCAUUGAAGUGUCUAGUUGCUCACUGCUACAGAAAAUGUUACUGUUUYUUCCCAAAUGAUCUCUCUGUUGUGUCACAUUCCAGAGAACUGAUGAUGAGUUUUACUGUCAGAAACUGAAGAAAGAAAGUAGGUCUCCUGGAAAUUAGAGCAAUUUUCUCACACUUCCUUUUCCCUUCUCACCUUAUUGUAUAUCUGUUUAACAAACAUUUUCUCUCAUCUCUAUUUAAAAUAUGUUUAUAUUUUAAUAUGGAAAAACCUCCUAGAUUUCACAUUUGAUACUUCAGGGCUCUACAAAGUAUUGCAAGUAAAGAGAACGUUUGAUAAAAAGCRUGUUUGGCAGUGUCCUCCAAGGAAGGGUUAGUAACACAAAGGACUGGUGCAGGAUGAUUUAUCAUUCAGGGGCUACUGCCAUCAGUGACAGCUCUGCCAUGAAGAGCGGUUCUUAGUGGUCUGCUCCACCUGAGGUGGCACAGAAAAAUGAGAGCGACUGGUGAAGCAUCUCUCCAUCGGCCUAAUCAGACCUUCUACAAG
Molecule: long non-coding RNA, 1028 nt
Filed under: Dromaius novaehollandiae (emu)
Lineage: Eukaryota; Metazoa; Chordata; Aves; Casuariiformes; Dromaiidae
Description: lncRNA (ENSDNVG00000008516.1)
Source: RNAcentral